Phthorimaea operculella (potato tuberworm) is the source of this 75-nucleotide non-coding RNA. Lineage: Eukaryota; Metazoa; Arthropoda; Insecta; Lepidoptera; Gelechiidae. The record is from the annotation of a GenBank genome assembly.
GCCGCUGUACCUAGAUGGUAGAGGCGUCGCCAGUACCGAUAAUGAAGGUCGCUGGUUCAAAUCCAGCCUGCGGUG